This 434-nucleotide ribosomal RNA is filed under the name uncultured bacterium. RNAcentral describes it as "partial 16S ribosomal RNA". It matches the Rfam family "Bacterial small subunit ribosomal RNA", at positions 29 to 507 of the family's 1533-position model. The record is from RNAcentral.
AGCGAACGCUGGCGGCAGGCCUAACACAUGCAAGUCGAACGAACCUUUCGGGGUUAUUGGCGGACGUGUGAGUACCACGUGGGAACGUGCCUUUAGGUUCGGAAUACCUCAGGGGAACUUGUGCUAAUACCGCAUGUGCCCUUCGGGGGAAAGAUUUCUCGCCUUUAGAGCGGCCCGCGUCUGAUUAGCUAGUUGGUUGAGGUAAUGGCUCACCAAGGCGACGAUCAGUAGCUGGUCUGAGAGGAUGAUCAGCCACAUUGGGACUGAGACACGGCCCAAACUCCUACGGGAGGCAGCAGUGGGGAAUCUUGCGCAAUGGGGGAAAGCCUGACGCAGCCAUGCCGCGUGAAUGAUGAAGGUCGUAGGAUUGUAAAAUUCUUUCAGCGGGGACGAUAAUGACGGUACCCGGAGAAGAAGCCCCGGCUAACUUCGUG